AUUCCAUCCUCGAUAUAUAUUUUUGUAUUUUUUUU
Molecule: small RNA, 35 nt
Filed under: Arabidopsis thaliana (thale cress)
Lineage: Eukaryota; Viridiplantae; Streptophyta; Magnoliopsida; Brassicales; Brassicaceae
Description: ATSL223030
Source: RNAcentral